CUGGGAUGCGUAAAGCCCGUCUAAUAUCUGUAUUCGAACUGCGGAGGAACGGGUUACAAGCUUUCUCCAUCUUCAGUGUUGUUGGAAUCUGAGGUAAUUUCUUGCUACGGAGGUCUGCAACAUGAGCUGCAUAAGACUGGAGUACUUCGUUGUUUGGCUCUAGAGACAAGGCAAAUUUGGAAUUACUCUGCACCCAAACCAAAUUAAAAAAAAUCAUUUUGAGGCAACCGUGUUUAGUAAAAAGCUUUUCAAUUUAAGACUAGAAUACCAAAAUGUAACGUACCAAUGUAUAUUCAUGACCACAGUAUAUGCUUGUGUCAUCUGGUAACGAUAUGAUUUUUUGGAGAGAA
This is a long non-coding RNA of Camelina sativa (false flax), 350 nucleotides long. RefSeq lists it as uncharacterized. The record is from RefSeq and is a predicted model, not a curated record. NCBI's taxonomy places the organism in Eukaryota, Viridiplantae, Streptophyta, Magnoliopsida, Brassicales, Brassicaceae.